UACGUAGGGUGCAAGCGUUAAUCGGAAUUACUGGGCGUAAAGCGUGCGCAGGCGGCUUUGCAAGUCAGAUGUGAAAUCCCCGGGCUUAACCUGGGAAUGGCCUAUGUGACUGGCAGGCUAGAGGAUGGCAGAGGGAGGCGGAAUUCCACGUGUAGCAGUGAAAUGCGUAGAGAUGUGGAGGAACACCGAUGGCGUAGGCAGCCUCCUGGGCCAAUCCUGACGCUGAGGCACGAAAGCGUGGGGAUCAAACAGG
This 253-nucleotide ribosomal RNA is filed under the name uncultured bacterium. RNAcentral's name for it is "partial 16S ribosomal RNA". It matches the Rfam family "Bacterial small subunit ribosomal RNA", at positions 524 to 776 of the family's 1533-position model. The record is from RNAcentral.